Molecule: small RNA, 492 nt
Filed under: Pan troglodytes (chimpanzee)
Lineage: Eukaryota; Metazoa; Chordata; Mammalia; Primates; Hominidae
Description: processed transcript
Source: RNAcentral
GCCGCUCGAUGGGCGAGGAGGCGGCGGCGGCGGGGGCGGUGGGGGCCGCGGGCCGGGCCGCCGCUCCGAGGUGAAGGCGCGCGCCCCUCCCCGCCUGCCUCCCGGGCCGCAGCGAUGAAUUCCGCCGAGCAGACCGUUACGUGGCUCAUCACUCUGGGGGUGCUGGAGUCGCCCAAAAAAACCAUCUCGGACCCGGAGGGCUUUCUGCAGGCGUCGCUGAAGGAUGGGGUGGUCCUCUGCAGGCUGCUGGAGCGCCUGCUCCCCGGGACCAUCGAGAAAUCCUGCAGGCACUGCUUCUCCCUUCCGGCUGGUGGUUCCCAGGCUGGAGCGUGUGAACCCUGACCCGAAUCUCUGGAAGUGAUUAAAGUUUGUUUUCAUCGCCCACAAGCCGGCCAGCAGGGCCGAGGAGGCAGGAGAGCUUCUAAAAACGAUGUCUCCCUGUAGCUCAAAAUACUAAAAUCUUAUUCCCAGGGUGUUUCUUCGGGGUGGGGG